Molecule: non-coding RNA, 356 nt
Organism: Cinara cedri
Lineage: Eukaryota; Metazoa; Arthropoda; Insecta; Hemiptera; Aphididae
Source: the annotation of a GenBank genome assembly
UAAACGUAUUCUUUCACCUGACUCGUAUAUUGUAACAGGCGGGUAUGUUAUUAUUGCGCCAUUCAAUCACAUCUCGUUUUGAAUAUAAUAUCUACUUCUAUGUUGUAUAAUAACGCGUGUAUCUGUAAUAUAUUUUAUGAAUAGAGAAAAUUAAGACCGUUGCACCGCUAAGUAGGUAUAUAAUAUACAAUUAUAAUAAAUACUAUUUUUAAAACGUGAUUUAAAACAUCAUUUAGUAUAUCAAUGCUCGGGUAAAUGUUUAAUGAUCCUCGACGUGUAUUGAUUAUUAUUAUACGAGUAUAUUAUAUUAUUAGUGGUGGUUAUAUAUAGGUGAGUACGAAACCAUUUUUAGUUGU